Long non-coding RNA from Pieris brassicae (large cabbage white), 1040 nucleotides. RefSeq lists it as uncharacterized. The record is from RefSeq and is a predicted model, not a curated record. NCBI's taxonomy places the organism in Eukaryota, Metazoa, Arthropoda, Insecta, Lepidoptera, Pieridae. The transcript has 5 exons.
AUUUGUCAAAUAUAUUUUGUAAUUGCGUGUUGUUACUUACCAAUUUGUGUGAAAAGUUUUAAUAAAUGUAUCUCAUGAACCGUAAGUUUGCGCAACCUAAAUCUUUGCAAAACUCUUUCUUUUAUGUUAAAGUUUGGGCUAAAUUUUGUUUUCCUAAUGGUGAUGGGACAUCCAUUGAAUCAUUAAAAACAGUGAAUGCCCAGCAUAGGAUACUAUGUGAAAAUCAUUUGAAUGAAUCUUCAUUUACCAGCAGCGAUAGGAAAAGACUUAACAAGUUAGAUUAAGAGUGAAUAGAGGAGGAUAUAGACCAAUUAAAAAACAAACAUUGUAGUCCAUAUAGAGCAAGUUAUGACAUCCAAGAACCAUCAACUAGCAAAGGUAUUUUGUAGGACUUGGACGUGAAAAAGUUCAGUGAACUUACACCUCAAAAGCAAACGCUGUCUAAGAGAUGCAGAAAAAAUCUAUCUGAAAUAGUGAGGCUCUGAAAAAAGUUUCAAGGUACAGUAAAGUGGAGCCACAUAGAGGAGUUUUAUAAUAAAGAUCGCGAGAAUCCCAACCGUGUUUGCUCCAGCUUUAACCCAGCACCACUUACAACCAGUACAGAAUGGCAAACAGAAAAUCAAAGAGCGCCUAGCAGAUCAAAUUUUAAGCCAUUCGGUUGCAGUUGGAAUAUUUGCCAAAAUGAAUGAUGACAAGACGCCCCUGGAACAACUGUCGCUGGACAAGCUUUUCGACUGAACGGAGAUUCGACCGACAGGAAAGAGGUAUAAACACUUAUUAUAAUAAUACUUGACAUCUGUAAUUGUGGAUGUGAUCCAAACCCCACGUCGGUCCAAUUAAAAACUAGCUUAGGCAAUUAGUAGCAGCGUUUUUAAUACGCUGAAAUUAUUAUUCUUCGAAGACACUAAACCUAGCUGCGCAACUGAAUAUCCCUGUAACAGCCAGAUGGAACCUCCAACCUCCCAGGGAAAUUAAGUGGCAUCGCCGACUCAGCUACGCCUACGUCUGGCUAUGCUCUCGGGGUGUAACUCCCAUGAUUU